RNAcentral lists this non-coding RNA (80 nucleotides) under Desulfoluna spongiiphila. RNAcentral describes it as "GEMM cis-regulatory element". It matches the Rfam family "c-di-GMP-I riboswitch aptamer". From Rfam's summary of the family: GEMM was predicted in a large-scale screen for bacterial structured RNA regulatory elements. Genes associated with GEMM are involved in a diverse array of functions, including chemotaxis regulation, signal transduction, secretion and chitin. Lineage: Bacteria; Pseudomonadati; Thermodesulfobacteriota; Desulfobacteria; Desulfobacterales; Desulfolunaceae. The record is from RNAcentral.
AGGGAAACAAGCCAAACCUGUCGCGAGGCGGGGACGGAAAGCCACGGGUCUUGAUCCAUCAAGACGGCCGGGUUGCCCCG